UCCCAGCAUUUGGUGCUGUCAGUGUUGCCUU
This 31-nucleotide non-coding RNA is filed under the name Homo sapiens (human). The record is from RNAcentral. Lineage: Eukaryota; Metazoa; Chordata; Mammalia; Primates; Hominidae.